RNAcentral lists this ribosomal RNA (253 nucleotides) under uncultured bacterium. Its description in RNAcentral is "partial 16S ribosomal RNA". It matches the Rfam family "Bacterial small subunit ribosomal RNA", at positions 524 to 776 of the family's 1533-position model. The record is from RNAcentral.
UACGUAGGGUGCAGGCGUUAAUCGGAAUUACUGGGCGUAAAGCGUGCGCAGGCGGCUUCCUAAGUCAGAUGUGAAAUCCCCGGGCUUAACCUGGGAACUGCGUUUGAAACUGGGGGGCUAGAGUGCGGCAGAGGGGGGUGGAAUUCCACGUGUAGCAGUGAAAUGCGUAGAUAUCUGGAGGAACACCGGUGGCGAAGGCGGCAUCCUGGACCGGCAUUGACGCUGAGGCGCGAAAGCUAGGGGAGCAAACGGG